This 1794-nucleotide long non-coding RNA is filed under the name Homo sapiens (human). RNAcentral describes it as "HSALNT0301510". Lineage: Eukaryota; Metazoa; Chordata; Mammalia; Primates; Hominidae. The record is from RNAcentral.
AGUGUUUCCCACUGGUCUCUCCCACAGAUGACGCCUGCAGAGGUGCGCGAGGCUGGGUGUCCAUCUCACUCACCCAGCCUGAAAAUGUCUAUGUGAAGAAGCGUAAGCAAAACAGACACUUGUGCUAAUCACUGUUCAGAGCUUGGCUGCUGAGUGUUUUCUGGGAGCUGCAUUGUCAGUUGAGGGCUGCCCGCUGCGUGGGGUGGAUUCCCCAGCCCUCACAGGAUAAUUUUAUCACAGAGGACAACAUUUGUAGUUCUGCAUGAGUGGCUCUCCUGGCGAGAUAAAGAAGAGACAGUGAGCUGAGGCUGAGGCUGAGAAGGCUGGCAUAUGUGAUGUCUUCGGGGAUCGGAAGCUCUGUGGAUGACAGGAUUAGGCAUGUACAGGACCAUGGAACAGCAAGCUGAGCCACUAGGGCCCUCAGGGAGGAGAAACCCAGAAGCCUGACAUGCCAGCAAAAGGGUAAAGAAAGCUUUUAUGGUUCCCUGACUGAGGAUAAUCAACCCCUUCAUAAUUUAGAAUCCAAAGAUUGGAUCUUCUGAGAACAUCAGAGAAAGACUGCCCUUGCCAUCCACACUGCAACAAAACUUCAGAACCUUGAACCUUGGGUUCAUAAUCUCACAACAAAGAAGGGUCCCUCCAUGUUCUUGGAGCUGUACACCCAUUGGAACUCUUAAGGUAAAGCUAACCAGGGAAGUUUCUCCCCAGAAGAUGGGAUCCUUAAUGUGAACAGCUUUUCCCAAUAUCACAGAUCAAGAUUUCUCUACUAUCAUGAGACUUUUAUCUUUGAAUAUUUUCCCUUCCUUAUGCCUCUAUAAACACUAGGAGUGAAAAGGGGGUCUGUUGUGUACACUUAUAGGGUAUGAUUUUAUUUGUGAAGGAUUUUGCAGCCAGCGUUAUACAUGGAUAACUUUAUACCUUGAUGGAUGACAGAUGAGGGACCAAUGUAGGUGAGAAACUUUAAUGGUACAUACAUUGCCUCCUAAUCAGUCAGAAAUAAAACAUUAGUUCACUCCUCUUAAUCCACAUCAUAAGUUAAAGAGAAUAUUGCCAGGAGGCCUUCAUUCUUCUAGAAGGGCAUCAUUUGUUAGGUCCUUUUUCCAUGGUUUGGAGUAAAAGAAGCAAUGAUUUAAAAUGUAUCCCUCAUGAUAAACUCUAUAGCAGAUUCUACUGUAAAGGCUAUAGUUAUACAACAGAAUUUAAAUUAUCUUGUGAAAGUUAUGCUAACUAAUCAAAUUGCUCUAGAUUAUUUACUGGCUAAACAGAAGUAUCUGUGCAGCUGCUGGCACUUGUGGCCUGUGGAGAAAUACAUCACAUCAGGUAUUAUAGAGAUUCAGUUGUAGGGGACUAGCCAAGAGGCUGCUUAGUUAAGUAGGUAGACUCUUUAUCUAGCUCAUUCUUUGAUCUAUUUGAUUUUAUAUGGUUUGGUUUAUGGGGACCCUGGGUAAGGCGAAUACUGUAAACUCUUGGUAUUAUCCUCCCAAUAGUCAUAAUAGUAGUCUCCCUGGUGUGCUAUAUUCUCUCAAAGGUUUUAAAUGUUUGCGUGCAGCCAUCUCUAAAGGGUCAAAUGGUCUGUCUUCAACUGGCAUGACAAGAUCUGAAAGAAAAGUGUGAUCAUGAGGACACCACAACCUAUGAAUGACAUGCUGAGACUGGAAACUCAAAAUGAUGGUAACUGAGAGUGCUGCUAAGGUCCUAAAUUUUGGUUACACUCUCACCUAAGAGAACCUGAACAAAAAAGGAAUUUUUUUAAACAAAAUUAUGAGAGGCCAUUGUUUUGGACUGAGCUUAUGC